AAUCCAUGCAUCGGACAUUCCUAAAGUAAUUCUUUAAAUCUCUCCCAAGCUUCAUAUAGCGUUUCAUCCUCUGGUUGCCAAAAAGAUGUGAUGUCAUUUCUAAUCUU
Molecule: non-coding RNA, 107 nt
Organism: Gossypium raimondii (Peruvian cotton)
Lineage: Eukaryota; Viridiplantae; Streptophyta; Magnoliopsida; Malvales; Malvaceae
Source: Rfam